CGGCGUGCCUAACACAUGCAAGUCGUACGAGAAAGCCGGCUUCGGCUGGUGAGUAAAGUGGCGCACGGGUGAGUAACGCGUGGAUAAUCUGCCCUUAAGUGUGGAAUAACGUACCGAAAGGUGCGCUAAUACCGCAUAAUGCCUGGCAACACAAGUUGUCCGGCCAAAGAAGGCCUCUGUUUACAAGUCUUUCGCUUCAGGAUGAGUCCGCGUACCAUUAGCUUGUUGGUGGGGUAAUGGCCUACCAAGGCUGCGAUGGUUAGCUGGUCUGAGAGGAUGAUCAGCCACACUGGAACUGAGACACGGUCCAGACUCCGUACGGGAGGCAGCAGUGAGGAAUAUUGCGCAAUGGGGGCAACCCUGACGCAGCAACGCCGCGUGAGUGAGGAAGGUUUUCGGACUGUAAAGCUCUGUCGAGCGGGAAGAAGUGUACCAUGGCUAAUAUCCAUGAUAUUUGACGGUACCGCUAGAGGAAGCACCGGCUAACUCCGUG
Molecule: ribosomal RNA, 493 nt
Filed under: uncultured bacterium
Lineage: Bacteria
Description: bacterial SSU rRNA
Rfam family: Bacterial small subunit ribosomal RNA
Source: RNAcentral